CCGAAAUAAUAAAAGAAAAGAUAUAUAUGAUAACGCCAAAUAUCGUAUAUAGAAUGGAAACGUAUAAAGAUGAAUUUAAAUUUGAUAUUGGAAAUUGUUCUAUUAGAUAGCCAAUUACACUUUGUAAUCCAAAAU
Molecule: non-coding RNA, 135 nt
Filed under: Bacillus cereus biovar anthracis str. CI
Lineage: Bacteria; Bacillati; Bacillota; Bacilli; Caryophanales; Bacillaceae
Source: RNAcentral